This 107-nucleotide non-coding RNA is filed under the name Morganella morganii. RNAcentral describes it as "antisense sRNA RprA". It matches the Rfam family "RprA RNA". Rfam says of the family: Translational regulation of the stationary phase sigma factor RpoS is mediated by the formation of a double-stranded RNA stem-loop structure in the upstream region of the rpoS messenger RNA, occluding the translation initiation site. Clones carrying rprA (RpoS regulator RNA A) increased the translation of RpoS. The record is from RNAcentral. RNAcentral also lists the same sequence under 1 other name. Lineage: Bacteria; Pseudomonadati; Pseudomonadota; Gammaproteobacteria; Enterobacterales; Morganellaceae.
AAGUAACGAAUUAAAAGGUAUUGUUAUUCAUUACAACGAUACUUUCCGAAUACAAAUAUUGCUGUGUGUAGUCUUUGCCUGUCAGCCCAUGAUAGGCUUUUUUUUUG